UACGUAGGGGGCAAGCGUUGUCCGGAAUUAUUGGGCGUAAAGCGCGCGCAGGCGGUUAUUUAAGUCUGGUGUUUAAGGCUGGGGCUCAACCCCGGUUCGCACUGGAAACUGAGUGACUUGAGUGCAGAAGAGGAAAGUGGAAUUCCACGUGUAGCGGUGAAAUGCGUAGAGAUGUGGAGGAACACCAGUGGCGAAGGCGACUUUCUGGGCUGUAACUGACGCUGAGGCGCGAAAGCGUGGGGAGCAAACAGG
This 252-nucleotide ribosomal RNA is filed under the name uncultured bacterium. RNAcentral's name for it is "partial 16S ribosomal RNA". It matches the Rfam family "Bacterial small subunit ribosomal RNA", at positions 524 to 776 of the family's 1533-position model. The record is from RNAcentral.